RNAcentral lists this small RNA (369 nucleotides) under Histoplasma ohiense. RNAcentral describes it as "hypothetical lncRNA". The record is from RNAcentral. Lineage: Eukaryota; Fungi; Ascomycota; Eurotiomycetes; Onygenales; Ajellomycetaceae.
CGUUAGCCUUGAAUGCUUUCGAAAGAUGAGGAAGAAUGAUGACUCUGGCAGACACGAAGAAAAUUUCUCCAAUGCGAAAGACGAAUGUAAAUAUAUACUUUAUCCCACAAUCGCAUGAGCGAAUGCGGAUAUCGGUGUUGUCGGGGCGGACUCAAACGCGAUAAAUGGCUUCAAAUGGCUUCCUCAGACUGCGGUAUGCAGAGGGGCUGACCUUCAAACGUUGGAGUAAUAACAAUAUCUACUCGUACAGUAAUUGACAAAGGCGGGAACGGCGCUAUAGACUCGGGAGGGUAAAGAGUAGCUGUUUCUUUGAAGCAAGUUUGGUGGUUGCAUGAAAGAGACCUCUUUUCUUGCCAGGUCCGGAAGUGG